GAGAGAGAGAGAGAGAGAGAGAGAGAGAGAGAGAGAGAGAGAGAGAGAGAGAGAGAGUAUGGGGUGCUUCCACGCGACGCGUCACGGCCUCGAGAAAAUGCACAACAUUUUCGGGUGUCAUAACUCUUUUAUUAUUAGUAGUAGAGAAGUUUUAUUACUCCACCAUAUAUACUACAUGAAUAUACAAAUAUUGGAAAGAAGAAAGACACCAUUUCCACCUCUUUUAAAUGCCUAAAUUUUCCCCGUGCACAGCAUCCAGAGAUAUAUAUCGCCACCCGUACUCUAAGGGAUAACAAAAGAUACGAGACAGCUAGAAAAAGAAAAGAGGAAGCUUGGAAGGGAUGGAGGAGAUGAAGAAGAAUCAACUCGUGGAACAAUUUCAAACGAGCAAGGAAUGAAUAUACAAAGAUUAGAAGAGAAGAAAAAAGGAAAUAUGAAAAAGAUAUAAUCGACCAACCCAAACUAUUCAAUAGACAUGUGAACGGCAAAUUAAAGAACAGAGAAAUAAUCGAUAAACUGAAAAUGGAUGAAACCACAUCCGAGGACCCAGCAGAGAUGGCAGAGGUGAUGAGCAACAGCUUCCAUAGAGUUUUCACAAGAGAAGAAAAAUUUGUGCAACCCCCGGGCCAGGAAAGAGGAAGGGUUAUGCAGAAGAUACAGUUAACGGUGCAGGAGGUCAAGGAAAGCUUGAACAAGCUGAAUGUAAGAAAGGCGACGGGGCUGGAUGGAGUAUCAGGGUGGAUCUUGAAAGAAUGUAGUGAGCAACUUGCAGAGAAACUGCACUCCAUAAUGAGCGCCUCCCUGAGUGAAGGAAGGGUACCACAAGAUUGGAAGAGAGCAAACAUAGUACCGAUUUUUAAGGGAGGAAAGAAAGAGGACCCAUUAAAUUAAUAACAGUAUCACUCACUAGUGUGGUUGAGAAGAUGUGUGAGAGACUGAUUAAAAACAGGUGGUCAGAUUUCUUAGAAAGUGAGAAAAUUAUCUCAGAUUGCCAGUUUGGAUUCAGGAGAAGGAGAUCUUGUGUCCCCAACUUGUUGUGUUAUUACUCAAGGGUGAUAGAUUUAAUACAGGAGAGAGAAGGCUGGGCAGAUGGAGUGUACCUGGAUUUGAAAAAGGCAUUCGACAAAGUACCGCACAGAAGACUAAUUUGGAAAAUUAAAAAUAGGGGUGGAGUGGGUGAUGGACUGAUUAAGUGGCUGGAGGACUUCCUAAUUAACAGGGAAAUGAGGACAAUAAUUAGGGACAGGGUUUCCAACUGGUGCCCAGUGAUGAGUGGAGUCCCACAAGGUUCGGUGUUGGCGCCAAUAAUGUUUGCUGUUUAUAUAAAUGAUAUGGUGGACGGAGUGACCAGCUAUGUGAGUUUGUUUGCAGAUGAUGCAAAACUAUUGAGACGAGUGAAUAAUGUGAAGGACUGUGAGGCAUUGCAGAGGGACCUGGAUAGAAUAUGGGAGUGGAGUGGUACAUGGCAGAUGGAGUUCAACCUUGGGAAAUGCAAAAAAAUUAAGUUUGGUAGGAGUGGUAGGAUGUGAAUAUGAUUAUAAGAUGGGAAGUGAGAUAAUAUGCAGAGGAGUGGAAGAAAAAGAUUUAGGAGUGACUGUCUCAGAGAACAUGUCACCGGACAAACACAUCAACAGGAUAACAGGACAAACUAUGAAUUUGCUGAGGAACACAAGGACGGCAUUUGUGUGCUUGGAUGAGAAGAUGAUGAGGAAAAUAAUAGUCACAAUGAUAAGGCCAAGGUUGGAGUAUGCAGCAGUGGUCUGGUCUCCUCACAAAAAAAAAGAACAUAAGGAAGCUGGAAAGAGUACCGGAACUUCGAGAUUGGACUUAUGAGGAGAGACUCAAUAGCAUGGGGCUUACGACCCUGGAGAGAAGAAGAGAAAGAGGAGAUCUGAUAGCGGUGUACAGGGUGGCGAGCGGAGUGGAACAUUUGGACAGAGAGGACCUGUGUGUGUGGAACGAGAGAGAAACGAGAGGACAUGGAAAGAAGUUGAGGGCGACCACGUGCAGGAGAGAUGUGAAAAAGUUUAGCUUCCCAAACAGAAGCAUUGAGCUGUGGAAUGCACUGGAAGAGGAGGUGGUUUGUGCAAGAAACAUUCAUGAUUUUAGGAAAAGUUGGAUAAGAGUGGAUAUGGAGACGGGACAGUGCGAGCAAAGCUCUCUUCCUGUAUGUCACAACUAGGUAAAUACAACUAGGUAAAUACACACAGCACCAAGAAUGAGGUUUGCUGAGGGACCACAACACACCUCUCCUCUCAAGCCCUCAUAAAAUUAUCAGCCCUUCCCCUCACUAUCCCUCAUCUGCUUCACGGCCUCAGAGAAACAUGAUUUACCAUGCUAUCAACUGUAUCCCAACUCAUUUUCUCUCAGUGCUGCGAGGAACAAGGUCACACACCACCAAGAAUGAGGUCCACUUCUCUCAAACCCUCAUAAAACUAUCACAUCAAGCACUCACCUUCCUCACAGCCUUACAGAAACAUGACUGACCAUUCUAAAUGUAUCACAACUAUUCUGUCAACACUAUCCCAAAUCAUUCUCUCUCAGUGCUGUGAGGAACGAGGUAAUUCGAUCAUUUUUUUGUAACACGACUGUGAAAAAACGCAUUCAAAACCAAUUAACUCACUUUCUGGACUUUGAAAAUAGUUGAUAUGAGAGAUGGAAGUGUUUGAAAAUACUGACCAAAGACUUAACUGGAAGGAAAGGGAAGAUGAGGAAAGGUAAGGAGGGGAGGAGAAAAACAGGAAGGCAAGGAAAAGUGUGAAGGAGAGGAGGGAAAGACACCAAAUGGAAGGAAAGGGAAGGGAAGGGGAGGUAAGGAGAGGACACCAAAUGGAGGGAAAGAUAAUGUAAAGAAAGGUAAGAAGGGGAGGAGAAAAACAGGAAGGAAAGAAGGAGAGGGAAAGGAUAAACAUGGAAGGAAAGAGAAGGGAAGGAAGGUGUGAAGGAGAGGGAAAGGAUAAACAUGGAAGGAAAGAGAAGGGAAGGAAGGUGUGAAGGAGAGGGAAAGGAUAAACAU
This is a long non-coding RNA of Eriocheir sinensis (Chinese mitten crab), 3016 nucleotides long. RefSeq lists it as uncharacterized. The record is from RefSeq and is a predicted model, not a curated record. The transcript is spliced from 2 exons. Lineage: Eukaryota; Metazoa; Arthropoda; Malacostraca; Decapoda; Varunidae.